CGGGAUGUAGCGCAGCUUGGUAGCGCGCGUGCUUUGGGAGCACGAUGCCGCAGGUUCAAAUCCUGUCAUCCCGA
RNAcentral lists this transfer RNA (74 nucleotides) under Microseira wollei NIES-4236. Its description in RNAcentral is "tRNA-Pro". It matches the Rfam family "tRNA". Rfam says of the family: Transfer RNA (tRNA) molecules are approximately 80 nucleotides in length. Lineage: Bacteria; Bacillati; Cyanobacteriota; Cyanophyceae; Aerosakkonematales; Aerosakkonemataceae. RNAcentral also lists the same sequence under 1 other name. The record is from RNAcentral.